Long non-coding RNA from Dreissena polymorpha, 346 nucleotides. RefSeq lists it as uncharacterized. The record is from RefSeq and is a predicted model, not a curated record. NCBI's taxonomy places the organism in Eukaryota, Metazoa, Mollusca, Bivalvia, Myida, Dreissenidae. The transcript is spliced from 3 exons.
AACACUCCCAGCGCGGACCCAUGCAAGUAUUGCACGUGCGUAGACGGCAAGGUGGAAUGCGAAGACUACACGUGUCCGAAACUUACGUGCGCGGAAUACGACCGGAUUAAACCGAACGGAAAAUGCUGCCAAGUGUGUAAAGAAAAGAAACCGUGCAAAAAUGGACCAUAUGGCAAAGAUUACGAUGAUGGUGACUAUAUCCCAGACUAUAAACCGUGCAAGAAAUGUCGCUGUAACUAUGGCAACAUCGAAUGCGAAGAUAGUAAGUACGGUUGCUAGGCAAACACCGAAGACCCAACGACAACUGAAUCUUGCAGACGACAUUAUUAAUAAGUAGUUUUGAAUU